Long non-coding RNA from Myotis lucifugus (little brown bat), 698 nucleotides. RefSeq lists it as uncharacterized. NCBI's taxonomy places the organism in Eukaryota, Metazoa, Chordata, Mammalia, Chiroptera, Vespertilionidae. The transcript is spliced from 4 exons. The record is from RefSeq and is a predicted model, not a curated record.
CCUUCCUCCCCGACGAAGGUGACGUACAGCUUAUUUCUCUGCAGGUCUUUUCGGGAGUAGGCCAUGAUCUGAUUAAAAGCAUCUUCGAGACUGGGCGCUUGCCAUUUCAUUUCCAUUUACCAUAACUAACGAGGCAAAAAGGAGUGACUUCAUGCCUUCGCUCUCUGCCAGCAACUGCUGCGUAAGAGGAGCGCUGAUCAACGGGGCACCCCACCUAUGACCUGCGAACACCGAGAGGCCCUCUGAGUGGUCAAGUCCAUCUAUCCAAGGAUAAUGGGCAACAUCACAGGCACAACCCUGUGCUGAGUAAAGGAAGAACAGCCCCAGAAGGUCAUGGUUGGAGCCCGAGUGCCCCUAGACAAGGAAUUGAGCCCAAGCUGCUGCAAGCCAAGCUGGAUUACUCAUGCCCAGUGCUGACUGGAGGGCGGAAUAUCUUUGCUGGCUGCUGAGAUGAUAUCAUGGCAAUUAGACAGGAAGUUAUCAUGUGAAAAGUAUGCGGUGUCUACAGCAAGAGCAGUGAGUUCCCAUCCUUCACUCCAUGGAAAACCUACGAAACUUCUUUUGGAAAACUCUGGCUUUGGGUCUGAAGGUAUCUAACCAACACGCCGGGAUACAGAAUCGGUGAUGAAAAUGGGAGUCAGGGCCCUGACAAGAACACUGGAAAUUUCCACCAGAGAUUUCACAACACAAUGAGAGAA